Molecule: long non-coding RNA, 1342 nt
Filed under: Cricetulus griseus (Chinese hamster)
Lineage: Eukaryota; Metazoa; Chordata; Mammalia; Rodentia; Cricetidae
Description: lncRNA (ENSCGRG00015037281.1)
Source: RNAcentral
UUUUUAUUCCUCUUUAAUCUUGCUGUUAAAAAACUUCACAGUUGGGGCUGAAGGGAUGGCUCAGCAGUUAAGCAGCACUGGCUGUUCUUCCAGAAAACCCAGGUUCAAUUCCCAGCACCCACAUGGUAGCUCACCACUGUCUGUAACUCCAGCUCCAGGAGUUCUGACACCUUCACACAGAUACACAGCAAGCAAAACACCAACACACAUUAAAUAAAUAAAUAAAUAAGUUCACGGUUAACAAACUAUUCUCAUUCUGCUCCAAGUGAGUCAAACCCUUCCCUUUCGUCUGAUCCCACAAUACUCUUGGAAACUAUUUAGGGGUUUUUGGAUGAGGAAGCCCCACCCCCCAAUUUAACACCCAUCGAAGAUCACUGCUUUAUGUUUCCAGAUUAGUCAGUACCAUCCCUCAUUGAAGAAAUGGAGACCAUCACAGAGAACCACAACUGGACAUAAUGUAGAGAUCAAUGGAUUUGUGGGAUCCUGGCCCCAAUGGAUACAUCUAUAGCACAGCUCCUAUGUCUAUAGCUCAAGGAACAGCGUGGAAGAGGAAGUGGAAAGGCUACAAGGGCCGGAAUACCAGCAAGUCUGCUGUGAGACAGUCUUUCCUAAAAACGACUGUGUAAACAAGAUUGGAACAAUGGCAGUAUCAUUGGACAUGUUAACGUGGAAGGGGACAUUUCAAGAGUUUCUAGCCCUAGAAAGAGAAUUACAGGCAGCUAAUGACUGAUGGGAGAAGGAGAACUAACCUGUUCUGGGGAUGAGCCCCAUAUUGGUUGUCCAACCAUGACUGGCCAUGAAACCAUAUACACACAAAUAACAAAAUUAGAUUCAGCAGGUUAUAUUUAUAUGUGUUUGUGCACACACAUCCGUGUGUGUGUGUGUGUGUGUGUGUGUGUGUGUGUGUGUGUGUGUGCAACAAUAAUAUUCAAAGCAAAGGAGAAUAUCAUCCUUAGAGUUGGGGGAGUCGAUGGAGUAUCUGGCAGAAACUGUAGGGAAGAAGGGGGCAGAGCAUUAUAAUUCUAUUCUAACUGAAGCCAUUUUUAAAAGCCUUCCUGACUAGAACAGGAGGCUAUGCCCUAGUGACUCUGAUCUGUGUGUCCUGAUGAUCAGAGGAGCGGAACACUUGCUGUAUUGUCUUCCUACAUUGUUGUUUUUUCCAUACAGUUGUUGCCCAGUCAACCACUUUAAAAUUGACAGAUUUGUUUUCUGCUGUUCCAUGAGCGGCCCUGCACUGCACGCCACCCCCUCUGUCAGGUCCUGAAGUGCUGUUCAUCCGUACACGGCACGCCACCCCCUCUGUCAGAUACAAGGCUGAUGGCAUGUUGACUUCUAAUUCAGC